This 333-nucleotide unclassified non-coding RNA is filed under the name fungal sp. RNAcentral describes it as "partial internal transcribed spacer region". The stretch from base 1 to 46 matches the Rfam family "Eukaryotic small subunit ribosomal RNA", at positions 1786 to 1831 of the family's 1831-position model. Lineage: Eukaryota; Fungi. The record is from RNAcentral.
AAGUCGUAACAAGGUAACCGUAGGUGAACCUGCGGUUGGAUCAUUAAAAAGAUCUUGGCCUGCACCUUCUUUCUGGACUGCUUGCGGACCAUGUUGGAAGGAUGAGGCUAAGUUCCCCGAAAAUGGGAACUAACAUCAUGUGAACUGUUCUGUCUCUGGCGGUGGGAUGGCUAAACACCAUCUGUCAGCAUCCGAGGUUUCCUCAAUGUGCCGUGGACAAGCCGCCAACGGUGUAUGUUUCAUACAAACUUUUUGUUUCAUUAAAAUUGUCUGACCUACCUUUGUAUCAAAAAAAUACAAAAACAACUUUUGGCAACGGAUCUCUUGGCUCCC